RNAcentral lists this ribosomal RNA (301 nucleotides) under uncultured bacterium. RNAcentral's name for it is "partial 16S ribosomal RNA". It matches the Rfam family "Bacterial small subunit ribosomal RNA", at positions 509 to 809 of the family's 1533-position model. The record is from RNAcentral.
CAGCCGCCACGGUAAUACGUAGGUCCCGAGCGUUGUCCGGAUUUAUUGGGCGUAAAGCGAGCGCAGGCGGUUAGAUAAGUCUGAAGUUAAGGGCUGUGGCUUAACCAUAGUACGCUUUGGAAACUGUUUAACUUGAGUGCAAGAGGGGAGAGUGGAAUUCCAUGUGUAGCGGUGAAAUGCGUAGAUAUAUGGAGGAACACCGGUGGCGAAAGCGGCUCUCUGGCUUGUAACUGACGCUGAGGCUCGAAAGCGUGGGGAGCAAACAGGAUUAGAUACCCCGGUGUCCCUGUCUCUUAUACAC